CCAACAAAGAGAAGUAUCCUUGUGCCUCCUGAUUUUGAUCCAAUGGAAGACUCCCUUUAUCAAGAUGUUGAAGUGACUCUAGAUGUUCAGAGAAGUGAUACUAGUCCAUUUGAAUCUCAUAAGGCAAAAAAAGUGGCUGCAGUGACUCGAGAUGUUCAGAGAAGUCCAUUUGAAUCUCAAAAGGCAAAAAAAGUGGCUGAAGUGACUCGAGAUGUUUCAGAGAAGUGAAACUAGUAUUUUAUUUUCUUCUGUGUAAUAUCUUUUUGUUUUUAGUGGGCUUGAACUUUUUGUAUUGUUUGACUUAAAAUUUGCAGGUCCAUUUGAAUCUCAAAAGGCAAAAAAGCUGGCUGAAGUUACUCGAGAUGGUCCAUUUGAAUCUCAAAAGGCAAAAAAAGUUGCUGAAGUGGCUCAAGAUGCUCAGACUAGUGAAACUAGUCCAUGUGAAUCUGAAAAGACAAAUAAAGUGAGAGGAAUGAACAUUUGUAAGAAAGUUUUGCGACUGAAACCUGGAGAAAGGUUAAGAGUCACUUUCUACCAAAAUCGAGUUGUUGGGCCGAAUCACGCCUCAUUUUCUAGAUACUUGGGUUUGCUAGUUUGUGAUCGUAAUAUGUGCCCGCUGCGAGUACACUCAUGGUUGGACAUCGAAGAACAUAAGCUUGA
Molecule: long non-coding RNA, 660 nt
Organism: Lycium barbarum (goji berry)
Lineage: Eukaryota; Viridiplantae; Streptophyta; Magnoliopsida; Solanales; Solanaceae
Exons: 5
Source: RefSeq, a predicted model, not a curated record